Molecule: ribosomal RNA, 226 nt
Filed under: uncultured bacterium
Lineage: Bacteria
Description: partial 16S ribosomal RNA
Rfam family: Bacterial small subunit ribosomal RNA
Source: RNAcentral
UACGAAGGGGGCUAGCGUUGUUCGGAAUUACUGGGCGUAAAGCGCGCGCAGGCGGCUAUCCAAGUCAGUGGUGAAAGCCCGGAGCUCAACUCCGGAACUGCCAUUGAAACUGUUUAGCUUGAGGAUGAGAGAGGUGAGUGGAAUUCCCAGUGUAGAGGUGAAAUUCGUAGAUAUUCGCAAGAACACCGGUGGCGAAGGCGGCCAACUGGACCUUACUGACGCUGAG